AAUGAACGUUGGCGGCGUGCCUAACACAUGCAAGUCGAAGGAGAAGCCGGGCUUCGGCCCGGUGGAAACUGGCGCACGGGUGAGUAACGCGUGGGUAUCUACCUCGGGGUGGGGAAUAACCGCUGGAAACGGCGGCUAAUACCGCAUACGCCUUCAGAGGGAAAGCUCCGGCGCCCUGAGAGGAGCCCGCGUUGGAUUAGCUUGUUGGUGGGGUAAUGGCCUACCAAGGCUACGAUCUAUAGCUGGUCUGAGAGGAUGAUCAGCCACACUGGGACUGAGACACGGCCCAGACUCCUACGGGAGGCAGCAGUGGGGAAUAUUGGACAAUGGGCGCAAGCUUGAUCCAGCCAUGCCGCGUGAGUGAAGAAGGCCUUAGGGUUGUAAAGCUCUUUCACCUGCGAAGAUGAUGACGGUAGCAGGAGAAGAAGCCCCGGCUAACUCCGUG
Molecule: ribosomal RNA, 445 nt
Filed under: uncultured bacterium
Lineage: Bacteria
Description: bacterial SSU rRNA
Rfam family: Bacterial small subunit ribosomal RNA
Source: RNAcentral